AUCGAACGCUGGCGGCAGGCCUAACACAUGCAAGUCGAGCGAGCGGCGGACGGGUGAGUAAUGAUUGGGGACUGCCCGAUAGAGGGGGGUAAUUAAUUGAAACAGUGGCUAAUAAAGCAUACUGUCGGAUAACCCAUACUGGAUUAGCUAGUGGGUAAGGUAAUGGCUUACCUAGGCGAUGAUGCAUAGCUGGUCUGAGAGGAUGAUCGGCAACACUGGGACUGAGACACGGCCCAGACUCCUACGGAGGCAGCAGUAGGGAAUAUUUCACAAUGGGCGAAAGCCUGAUGCAGCAACGCCGCGUGAAUGAAGAAGGCCUUAGGGUCGUAAAGUACUGUCGUUCGGGAAGCGGUAACGAAAGAGAAAGUAACGGCUAACUCCGUGCCAGCAGCCGCGGUAAUAC
This 403-nucleotide ribosomal RNA is filed under the name uncultured bacterium. RNAcentral's name for it is "partial 16S ribosomal RNA". It matches the Rfam family "Bacterial small subunit ribosomal RNA", at positions 30 to 526 of the family's 1533-position model. The record is from RNAcentral.